Molecule: ribosomal RNA, 590 nt
Filed under: Morchella septentrionalis
Lineage: Eukaryota; Fungi; Ascomycota; Pezizomycetes; Pezizales; Morchellaceae
Description: eukaryotic LSU rRNA
Rfam family: Eukaryotic large subunit ribosomal RNA
Source: RNAcentral
CGGAGGAAAAGAAACCAACAGGGAUUGCCUCAGUAACGGCGAGUGAAGCGGCAAAAGCUCAAAUUUUAAAGCUGACAUCUUCGGUGUCCGCGUUGUAAUUUUGUGAGGCAUCUCCGGGUAGGGCGCCGGCCUAAGUUCCUUGGAACAGGACGUCACAGAGGGUGAGAAUCCCGUGCUUGGCUGGCUGUCCCCGUCCAUGUGAGGUGUCUUCGACGAGUCGAGUUGUUUGGGAAUGCAGCUCAAAAUGGGUGGUAAAUUUCAUCUAAAGCUAAAUAUUGGUGGGAGACCGAUAGCGCACAAGUAGAGUGAUCGAAAGAUGAAAAGCACUUUGAAAAUAGAGUUAAAAAGUACGUGAAAUUGUUGAAAGGGAAGCGCUUGAGACCAGACUUCGGUAAGGGGUGAUCAGCCGUCCUUCUGGGCGGUGCACUUGCCCCCCUCCGGGCCAGCAUCGGUUGAGGCGGCGGGAUAAAGGUCCCGGGAAUGUGGCUCCUUCACGGGAGUGUUAUAGCCCGGGUGAAUGCCGCCAGCUUCGACCGAGGACCGCACCCGCAAGGGUUAGGAUGCUUGGCAUAAUGGUCUUCAGCGACCCG